UACGUAGGGGGCAAGCGUUGUCCGGAUUUACUGGGCGUAAAGAGCGUGUAGGCGGCCACGCAGGUCCGUUGUGAAAACUGGAGGCUCAACCUCCAGCUGUCGACGGAAACCGUGUGGCUAGAGUCCGGAAGAGGAGAGUGGAAUUCCUGGUGUAGCGGUGAAAUGCGCAGAUAUCAGGAAGAAUAUCCGUGGCGAAGGCGGCUCUCUGGGACGGUACUGACGCUGAGACGCGAAAGCGUGGGGAGCGAACAGG
RNAcentral lists this ribosomal RNA (253 nucleotides) under uncultured bacterium. RNAcentral describes it as "partial 16S ribosomal RNA". It matches the Rfam family "Bacterial small subunit ribosomal RNA", at positions 524 to 776 of the family's 1533-position model. The record is from RNAcentral.